This 469-nucleotide long non-coding RNA is filed under the name Capra hircus (goat). Its description in RNAcentral is "lncRNA (ENSCHIG00000007529.1)". Lineage: Eukaryota; Metazoa; Chordata; Mammalia; Artiodactyla; Bovidae. The record is from RNAcentral.
AUCGUCUUUGUUGUACCCGGGCAGAGCUUCCUUCAGCAAAGGCAGCAACAUUGGACGGCCCAAGGCCAGAGAUUCCUUGAGCUGUGUGAUGCUGUGGACUUGGGGAAGUCUUGUGUUAAGUAACACCAGCUCCCCCGGAGACUGGUGGCCCUUGCCCAUGCCAAGUGGGACAAGGAGAAGGUCUCCAUGGGGGUGUGGCAACAGGAAGAGGUUAACUACUUGAUGACCUUGAGCACAGGUCAAGCCCUGGGGCUCCUGGAGCCUGAGGACUGAUCAAGUUAACCCCUGUGACACCACCUGUUCCCUCACCAGCUGUCAAUCAGAGAACUGUGCACGGUCUGAUCAUUUACUCUGCGACCCUCUUCCCUCACCCGGCUCUUAGAAAUGCUCUGCUAAAUGCCUGCAGGGAGCUUGAGGCUUUCUAGGGCCUGAGUCACCCCCUCUCCUGGCUCGGCCCUGCAAUAAGGCA